UGGCGCCUACGGGACGCAGCAGUGAGGAAUAUUGGUCAAUGGGCGAGAGCCUGAACCAGCCAAGUCGCGUGAGGGAGUACUGCCCUAUGGGUUGUAAACCUCUUUUGUCGGGGAGCAAAAGCCGGACGUGUCCGGCUGUGAGAGUACCCGAAGAAAAAGCAUCGGCUAACUCCGUGCCAGCAGCCGCGGUAAUACGGAGGAUGCGAGCGUUAUCCGGAUUUAUUGGGUUUAAAGGGUGCGUAGGCGGGACGGUAAGUCAGCGGUAAAAAUGCGGAGCUCAACUCCGUCGAGCCGUUGAAACUGCC
This 305-nucleotide ribosomal RNA is filed under the name uncultured bacterium. RNAcentral describes it as "bacterial SSU rRNA". It matches the Rfam family "Bacterial small subunit ribosomal RNA", at positions 333 to 637 of the family's 1533-position model. The record is from RNAcentral.